RNAcentral lists this ribosomal RNA (460 nucleotides) under uncultured bacterium. RNAcentral's name for it is "partial 16S ribosomal RNA". It matches the Rfam family "Bacterial small subunit ribosomal RNA", at positions 338 to 795 of the family's 1533-position model. The record is from RNAcentral.
CCUACGGGUGGCAGCAGUGAGGAAUAUUGGUCAAUGGACGAGAGUCUGAACCAGCCAAGUAGCGUGAAGGAUGACUGCCCUAUGGGUUGUAAACUUCUUUUAUAAAGGAAUAAAACGAGGCACGUGUGCCUUUUUGCAUGUACUUUAUGAAUAAGGAUCGGCUAACUCCGUGCCAGCAGCCGCGGUAAUACGGAGGAUCCGAGCGUUAUCCGGAUUUAUUGGGUUUAAAGGGAGCGUAGAUGGGUUGUUAAGUCAGUUGUGAAAGUUUGCGGCUCAACCGUAAAAUUGCAAUUGAUACUGGCAGUCUUGAGUACAGUUGAGGUAGGCGGAAUUCGUGGUGUAGCGGUGAAAUGCUUAGAUAUCACGAAGAACCCCGAUUGCGAAGGCAUCUCACGAAUCCGCGAUUGACGCUGAUGCACGAAAGCGUGGGUAUCAAACAGGAUUAGAUACCCCAGUAGUC